Molecule: non-coding RNA, 86 nt
Organism: Cordylochernes scorpioides
Lineage: Eukaryota; Metazoa; Arthropoda; Arachnida; Pseudoscorpiones; Chernetidae
Source: the annotation of a GenBank genome assembly
CGCAACCGACGGGAUUCGAACCCGCGAGGGGAUGAGACCCCAAUGGAUUAUAAGUCCAUCGCCUUAGACCACUCGGCCACGGCUGC